AGUCAAGUAAUUAAGUGCAUGUGGUGGAUGCCUUGGCAGUCAGAGGCGAUGAAAGACGUGAUAGCCUGCGAAAAGCUCCGGGGAGGCGGCAAAUAUCCUUUGAUCCGGAGAUGUCUGAAUGGGGGAACCCACCUACUUUAAGGUAGGUAUUGCAACAUGAAUACAUAGUGUUGCAAGGCGAACGAGGGGAAGUGAAACAUCUCAGUACCCUUAGGAAAAGAAAUCAAUUGAGAUUCCCUCAGUAGCGGCGAGCGAACGGGGAUCAGCCCAUUAAGUUAUGUGUGUUUUAGUGGAACGCUCUGGGAAGUGCGAACGUAGAGGGUGAUAUUCCCGUACACGAAAGGGCACACAUAAUGAUGACGAGUAGGGCGAGGCACGUGAAACCUUGUCUGAAUAUGGGGGGACCAUCCUCCAAGGCUAAAUACUCCUGACUGACCGAUAGUGAACCAGUACCGUGAGGGAAAGGCGAAAAGAACCCCUGUGAGGGGAGUGAAAUAGAUCCUGAAACCGCAUGCAUACAAGCAGUGGGAGCACCUUCGUGGUGUGACUGCGUACCUUUUGUAUAAUGGGUCAGCGACUUAUAUUCAGUAGCAAGGUUAACCGUAUAGGGGAGCCGUAGAGAAAUCGAGUCUUAAUAGGGCGUUUAGUUGCUGGGUAUAGACCCGAAACCAGGCGAUCUAUCCAUGAGCAGGUUGAAGGUUGGGUAACACUAACUGGAGGACCGAACCCACUGUCGUUGAAAAGCCAGGGGAUGACUUGUGGAUAGGGGUGAAAGGCUAAUCAAGCCUGGUGAUAGCUGGUUCUCCCCGAAAGCUAUUUAGGUAGCGCCUCGGACGAAUACCAUAGGGGGUAGAGCACUGUUUCGGCUAGGGGGUCAUCCCGACUUACCAAACCGAUGCAAACUCCGAAUACCUAUGAGUACUAUCCGGGAGACAGACUGCGGGUGCUAACGUCCGUAGUCAAGAGGAAAACAAUCCAGACCGCCAGCUAAGGCCCCAAAAUCAUAGUUAAGUGGGAAACGAUGUGGGAAGGCAUAGACAGCUAGGAGGUUGGCUUAGAAGCAGCCACCCUUUAAAGAAAGCGUAAUAGCUCACUAGUCGAGUCGGCCUGCGCGGAAGAUGUAACGGGGCUAAAA
This 1135-nucleotide ribosomal RNA is filed under the name Acinetobacter baumannii. RNAcentral describes it as "partial 23S ribosomal RNA". It matches the Rfam family "Bacterial large subunit ribosomal RNA", at positions 1 to 1186 of the family's 2925-position model. Lineage: Bacteria; Pseudomonadati; Pseudomonadota; Gammaproteobacteria; Moraxellales; Moraxellaceae. The record is from RNAcentral.